UACGUAGGGUGCAAGCGUUGUCCGGAAUUAUUGGGCGUAAAGAGCUCGUAGGCGGUUUGUCGCGUCGGCUGUGAAAACUCGGGGCUCAACCCCGAGCCUGCAGUCGAUACGGGCAGACUAGAGUGCGGUAGGGGAGACUGGAAUUCCUGGUGUAGCGGUGAAAUGCGCAGAUAUCAGGAGGAACACCGGUGGCGAAGGCGGGUCUCUGGGCAGUAACUGACGCUGAGGAGCGAAAGCGUGGGGAGCGAACAGG
Molecule: ribosomal RNA, 253 nt
Filed under: uncultured bacterium
Lineage: Bacteria
Description: partial 16S ribosomal RNA
Rfam family: Bacterial small subunit ribosomal RNA
Source: RNAcentral